AGCAUAAUCAUUUGUCUUUUAAUUGAAGACUAGAACAAAAGAUUUAACAAUUCAACUAAUAUAAAAAAUUAAUUAUAUUAAUUUAUUUUAAAUGUAAAAAAACAUUUAUAAUAUAGAAAGACGACAAGACCCUAUUAAACUUAACUAUAGUUUAACUGGGGCAGUUAAUAAAUUAUUAUUUUAAUAAAAAUAUAUAAAAAAAAAUCCAGUAAAACUGAAUGCAAUCAAGUUACUAUAGGGAUAACAGCGUAAUAUUUAUCUAAAGACCUUAUUUAAAUAAAAACUUGCGACCUCGAUGUUGAAUUAAUAACCUAAAUUAUUGCAGCAAAUAAAUAAAGGAAGUC
RNAcentral lists this ribosomal RNA (344 nucleotides) under Sanogasta sp. MJR2018-2. Its description in RNAcentral is "partial 16S ribosomal RNA". The record is from RNAcentral. Lineage: Eukaryota; Metazoa; Arthropoda; Arachnida; Araneae; Anyphaenidae.